RNAcentral lists this ribosomal RNA (458 nucleotides) under Actinomyces sp. oral taxon 448. Its description in RNAcentral is "bacterial SSU rRNA". It matches the Rfam family "Bacterial small subunit ribosomal RNA", at positions 28 to 471 of the family's 1533-position model. Lineage: Bacteria; Bacillati; Actinomycetota; Actinomycetes; Actinomycetales; Actinomycetaceae. The record is from RNAcentral.
GACGAACGCUGGCGGCGUGCUUAACACAUGCAAGUCGAACGGGCCUGCCUGGCUUUGGUUGGGUGGGUGAGUGGCGAACGGGUGAGUAACACGUGAGUAACCUGCCCUCUUCUCUUGGAUAACUGCUUGAAAGGGCGGCUAAUACGGGAUGUUCUGGCUGCCUCGCAUGGGGUGGUUUGGAAAGAUUCGGCCUGGUUUUGGUUGUUUUGGUGGGGGAUGGGCUCGCGGCUUAUCAGCUUGUUGGUGGGGUGAUGGCCUACCAAGGCGGUGACGGGUAGCCGGCCUGAGAGGGUGGACGGUCACACUGGGACUGAGACACGGCCCAGACUCCUCGGGAGGCAGCAGUGGGGGAUUUUGCACAAUGGGCGCAAGCCUGAUGCAGCGACGCCGCGUGAGGGAUGGAGGCCUUCGGGUUGUGAACCUCUGUCGCCGGUGAUGUAGGCUCUGCUUUGUGGGUG